Non-coding RNA from Canis lupus familiaris (dog), 95 nucleotides. The record is from Rfam. NCBI's taxonomy places the organism in Eukaryota, Metazoa, Chordata, Mammalia, Carnivora, Canidae.
AGGAGGAACAGCCCCAGUGGCGGGGCCAGGUCUGGAAACCUGGAUUCAGCUCCGGCAGGAACUCCGUCUGCAGGGCCUGGAGGCUCUGGGGCGGG